This 1493-nucleotide long non-coding RNA is filed under the name Anas platyrhynchos platyrhynchos (common mallard). RNAcentral's name for it is "lncRNA (ENSAPLG00000026860.1)". The record is from RNAcentral. Lineage: Eukaryota; Metazoa; Chordata; Aves; Anseriformes; Anatidae.
UUAAAAUGGAUCCUAAUGUUUCUGUGAGAACCUUCCCUUAUCUCUAAUUGGUGGAUAUCUUCUCUUUUUAUGGGAUGCAAGCUCUGUUCUAAAGUUGGAUGGAGACAAAUGUGCAUAUAGAAAACACAUACAUUUUAAAGAACCUUGUGUGUUUAAUUACAUAUAACUGUAAUUAUCAAUUUUGUUGUUGGUGGUGGUUUGUUUGUUUGUUUGCUAUCUGUUAUCACCUGUAUGGAGUAAAUUACUUUUCCAUAACUUUUUGUAAUCCAUUCCUUUUGCUAAAUUUAGUUUUGUCUUAAGUCACAUGAUAAUGCAGUGAAUGAAACCAGUUACUUCUAUGGAAAGUCAUGGUACAGUAUUUAUCUAGGCUGGAGAAUCCUAGCAGUGUCUUGCAGCAGAGAAGCCUGGAUGGGGCUUCCACUGAGAUCUGAUGAUGAUGCAUCUAGGCCACCACGCUUGUGGGGGUCACUGGAAGCAGGGAAAGAUUGGACAUAAUUCAGUGUCCUUCACAGAGAAUGGGAAAAAACACCACAUAUUUACAGCCCCCUGGGCUACAAUUCCUGUUUCUGCCAUAACAAAAUUAGUAUACAAACUUACGCAGGACAGUGUAGUAAGUACCAGUUCAGUUCUGAGGGAGUAAAUUUUACUCUUUUGAUGUUCUGACGUCAUGCUGGUCACUGUGGCAUGGGAGAUCCAUUUAUAUAUUAAGAAACAAAGCCUGAAGACGGAUCAUAGCUACACUGAAUGAUGUAAAUCACCUAAAUGGUUAAUAGAAUGUGAAAACUCCUCCCAUUUAAAGCUAUGGGAUUGCCAUAGUAAACUAAGCUAAGUAGGUGAAAUGUGCAUGGGAUCAGGACUGGAAAUGUAAAAGUGGACAAAGUUGUUGUCCUGUGCAUGGACAAAUGGAUACCAGAUGGAGUUUCUCAUACACGGUGCUAUGGGACUGCGCACCUUGCUGAUGAGGAUGUUGUCCUGCCUUGUGUGACCACUGGCUCCCAGCUUACCUUCCCCUGCAAAUCUGCCAUCUCUUGUUGCUCUUCAACAGUUAUCUCAGGUAAAGCACAAAGACCUGAGUUGAAACAGCUUCUGGAUGAAUUGGUAGAAGAUGUCUAGGUAGGUGGAGGCCCUGGGGGGAACCGGCCAAAACAAUUAGACUCCUGUGCUAUACUCACUGCCCUGGUACCACAUAGGUUUGUGUACUCCUGCACAUGCUCUCAUACCAGACCAGAAGUUUUCUCUAGCUGAAAGGUGAGAAAGUAUGGGAGGUUGUGGUGGUUUUACCAUGCUGGGCAGCUAAACACCACAACCGCUCUCUCACUCCCCCUCUUUAGAUGAGGAGGGGGAGAAGUAAAGCAAAGAACAACUCACGGGUUGAGAUAAGGAUAAUUUAAUUAAAGGGAAACAAUAAUAAUAAUUAAAGAAAGAUUAUUAUGAACUAAGCAAUUUAACUAAAGGGGAAUAAAAACGGAAAGGGGAAAAGGGAGGGGGAAAGG